Molecule: small RNA, 709 nt
Filed under: Pan troglodytes (chimpanzee)
Lineage: Eukaryota; Metazoa; Chordata; Mammalia; Primates; Hominidae
Description: retained intron
Source: RNAcentral
AAACUUCUGAAUGACUGGGAUCUCACUACUUUCUUUUAUUAAUAAUUUCUAAGUUUAUUAUGUUAUAGUCCAGGAAAAUAGCCUAUUCUGUUGCUACUUUUUUGAAAUGUAUCACAGCCUGUUUUCUUUUUUUCUUUUUGUUUGAGGCAAUAUAUAAGAUCCAUUAUUGUAACUAAUUCAUGGAUACUUGUUGUCUUCUUAGUUUAUUAGUGUUCAUAUCCAGUAUGUACUUACUUAUUUUCAAUUUUCUCUUUUUAAUUUAUUUUCAGGGCAAAUUUAUUCGGAUCAACUUUGAUGUAACUGGCUAUAUCGUUGGGGCCAACAUUGAAACAUACCUUCUGGAAAAGUCUCGUGCUGUUCGUCAAGCAAAAGAUGAACGUACUUUUCAUAUCUUUUACCAGUUGUUAUCUGGAGCAGGAGAACACCUAAAGUCUGAUUUGCUUCUUGAAGGAUUUAAUAACUACAGGUUUCUCUCCAAUGGCUAUAUUCCUAUUCCGGGACAGCAAGACAAAGAUAAUUUCCAGGAGACCAUGGAAGCAAUGCAUAUAAUGGGCUUCUCCCAUGAAGAGAUUCUGUCAAUGCUUAAAGUAGUAUCUUCAGUGCUACAGUUUGGAAAUAUUUCUUUCAAAAAGGAGAGAAAUACUGAUCAAGCUUCCAUGCCAGAAAAUACAGUUGCGCAGAAGCUCUGCCAUCUUCUUGGGAUGAAUGU